Molecule: ribosomal RNA, 607 nt
Filed under: uncultured Alphaproteobacteria bacterium
Lineage: Bacteria; Pseudomonadati; Pseudomonadota; Alphaproteobacteria
Description: bacterial SSU rRNA
Rfam family: Bacterial small subunit ribosomal RNA
Source: RNAcentral
GGCCUAACACAUGCAAGUCGAGCGAGAAGCCACCUUCGGGUGGUGGGCAGCGGCGGACGGGUGAGUAACGCGUAGGGAUCUGCCCAGGAGUGGGGGACAACCACUGGAAACGGUGGCUAAUACCGCAUAUGCCCAUUGAGUAUGAUGCUUGAUGGGGAAAGAUUUAUCGCUCCUGGAUGUACCUGCGUCGGACUAGCUUGUUGGUAAGGUAACGGCUCACCAAGGCGACGAUCCGUAGCUGGUUUGAGAGGAUGAUCAGCCACACUGGGACUGAGACACGGCCCAGACUCCUACGGGAGGCAGCAGUGGGGAAUAUUGCACAAUGGGCGCAAGCCUGAUGCAGCCAUGCCGCGUGAGUGAAGAAGGCCUUAGGGUUGUAAAGCUCUUUCAACAGUGAAGAUGAUGACGGUAGCCGUAGAAGAAGCCCCGGCUAACUCCGUGCCAGCAGCCGCGGUAAUACGGAGGGGGCAGGCGUUGUUCGGAAUUACUGGGCGUAAAGGGCACGUAGGCGGCGAUGCGGGUCAGGUGUGAAAGCCCCGGGCUUAACCUGGGAACUGCACUUGAAACUGCAUUGCUUGAGGACGGAAGAGGAGAAUGGAAUUCCCAG